Molecule: unclassified non-coding RNA, 285 nt
Filed under: Hevea brasiliensis (rubber tree)
Lineage: Eukaryota; Viridiplantae; Streptophyta; Magnoliopsida; Malpighiales; Euphorbiaceae
Source: RNAcentral
CAACCUACCAAUAAAAAAGUGAAAUUCAAAAAAUGUUUGACCUCCAAGUUCAUUCUAGUUUCUUAAAGGGGUUGAAUAGGUUGAAGCUUUCUAUCUGAAAUUUAUGAUUUUCUAACCUUAACUUUUUGAACUUCCUGUUGGUAAGGUAUAUGAGCACAGCCAGGCAUGACAUCUAAGAAUGGUUUUGACUUUUGAAUAAACAAGUUUGUUUGAUUUGAAGGUGAAAAUGAGUCUGACAAGUGCUGCUGUUUUAAACCACCUUUUAGUUUGGCUGCACAAUUUGUG